CAGGAACGAAAUGCUUGGUGGCAGUAAGUGUGGUUUGCUCCUUCCAAACUGGCAGUCUCUGAAAAGUUGGUUUGCCCCAAGAAUUCAAUGAAAGCUUUCCUGUCACCUACUGGCCACCCACACACCUGCUGGCAGCGGAGACCUGACAGAGUCCCCUCCUGCCACACCCCAGCCUGAGUGGGCAGCAGCUUCCUUUUCUCCCUGUGGCCACCAGGAAGCCACCUCAGUAACACCCUACAUGGGGUCAAAAGUCAGGUCACACCCUGGACCACUCAGGAAGUCGCUCCAGACCCGGGAGGCAGGAGGGCCAGGAAGUACGUGUGCCACAGGCUACCAGGUUAGCCAAGGUCCUCCAGCAGGGGCAUAGGUGGCCCCUACGGAUACCAUCCCAGGAGACCCUGCUGGUAGCUCUUUCCAGCAGAAGCACCAGCAUCACCUGUGCUGAUGGGUCCACAGAAGCCCAAGCAGCGACCACCUGGUGACCCAGUCAGACGGGAAGGUAUGGCCAGCUGCAAGUGUGAUGUCAGCCACAGCCACAGCAGACUGCAGACACCAACGAUUCCUGAGCCUCUAA
This is a long non-coding RNA of Heterocephalus glaber (naked mole-rat), 574 nucleotides long. Lineage: Eukaryota; Metazoa; Chordata; Mammalia; Rodentia; Bathyergidae. The record is from Ensembl.